AAUCAACGCUGGCGGCGUGCCUAACACAUGCAAGUCGAACGCGAAAGCCCCGCAAGGGUAAGUAGAGUGGCAAACGGGUGAGUAACACGUGGGUGACCUGCCCUCGAGUGGGGGAUAACGUCCCGAAAGGGACGCUAAUACCGCAUAAUAUGCCGCCUUUGUAAAAGGUAGGACAUCAAAGACUGGGGAGUCGCAAGACCUAGCGCUUGAAGAGGGGCCCGCGCCU
Molecule: ribosomal RNA, 226 nt
Filed under: uncultured bacterium
Lineage: Bacteria
Description: partial 16S ribosomal RNA
Rfam family: Bacterial small subunit ribosomal RNA
Source: RNAcentral